UGGUAAACUGAUACUCUGAAGCAAAGAGAGAUUGAAGAUGUGUCUAAGCACGUGCGAGCGUCUCCUAGCUGAUCAAAAACAUUAACCCUUGUAUGUCUAAUAGCUGCCGAGAAGAUUCUGAAGACAUGCUCGAUCUGUAGGCUGUUAUGGUCUGAACAGCGCGGACCGGAAGUAGUGGGAGGAGCCGGUGUGACGUAACCCUCGGCUUCCUCGCCUGGUCUGUGGUGCUGCCUUCUGUGGCUAAAGUAUUUAUUGCAGCCUUCAGUAAGGUCUUGCUCCCCUUGUGGCUAUGUAUAGUAUUUACGGCUUAUAUGUUUGGUCCUACCCCCUAGUGGUUAAAUGAGGGAAAUACAGCUUGUGUUCUGUAUUCUCUGCAAUAAAUUAUUUUUGUGUUUAAUAGCAUCAUGUCGACGGCAGAAGGGACAUUAUCAUCCGUUGCUUAGACGUCAGCCAAGAAGGAGUGAAAGAGGACUGCAGAAAUCACAUGAUGCAGAUCAACGUCAUCCAUCCCAAUGUGGCACAGGAAAUCCAAGAUCCUGUGUAUGUGUCAGUCAUCAUCAAGUGUGACAAACGCUUGCCUCCUGCUCAUUGCUGUCAUCUAUGCUGUAAACUUAAGUUACCCACUUAAACUGAAAUAUACGUUUGAAGUAUUUCAGAAGCUGUUUCUUGAGCUUGACGUCAUUACAAUGUCACCAAAGGUCCAGUUUCUCCACAAUAAACUUUUAGCGUGAGCGUUCCAGUGCUAUUUGUGCUUUUGUCCAGCACAAACAAUCUCUUUACUUUCGUCAUUUUUCUGACUGAAAUUUCAAGUUUUGCUUAGUUUUUAAGUUAUUUCUGUCCUGAACAUCCUGAGAAUGUCUGCAAAGGUAGCCAUUGCAGUUUAUGUAUGCAUUCUUUGCUGUUCUGAAAAGUCAACUGUAACACUGUAUUCGUUUGUAUGCUGGAAUAUUAGUCCCAAAGUCAGUUGGUGCUUUGUCACUCCGCAUUGAAUUUUUCAAAUCCUAAACGGCUUUACUUUUGAGCUUUUGUGUGUGUGUGUGUGUACAGUUUUCAAAUUUGCUAGCAGGAAGUUCUGUGUGGUUAUGUUAUGUAUUUUAAAUACAUCUAUGCCAUUUCAAAUGUGAAAUAAAAGUGUAUUUCAAACAUCCCUUAAGCUGCA
This 1159-nucleotide long non-coding RNA is filed under the name Gadus morhua (Atlantic cod). Its description in RNAcentral is "lncRNA (ENSGMOG00000024868.1)". Lineage: Eukaryota; Metazoa; Chordata; Actinopteri; Gadiformes; Gadidae. The record is from RNAcentral.